RNAcentral lists this ribosomal RNA (198 nucleotides) under uncultured bacterium. RNAcentral's name for it is "partial 16S ribosomal RNA". It matches the Rfam family "Bacterial small subunit ribosomal RNA", at positions 1303 to 1500 of the family's 1533-position model. The record is from RNAcentral.
GUCUGCAACUCGACUACAUGAAGCUGGAAUCGCUAGUAAUCGCAGAUCAGAAUGCUGCGGUGAAUACGUUCCCGGGUCUUGUACACACCGCCCGUCACACCAUGGGAGUCGGAUAUGCCCGAAGCCAGUGACCCAACCGUAAGGAGGGAGCUGUCGAAGGUGGAGCCGAUAACUGGGGUGAAGUCGUAACAAGGUAUC